GUUGGGAGGAACGGAGGUGGAACCCAUGGACGUGGUGCCAUAUCCCAUCAUUCUGACUCAUCGGGGGAGAGCAAACAUCAUUUCUUUAUCUGAUGGCAUGCAAAAGAGGCAUCGGGAAAACAAAAACGGGCAGUUCCAUGUUUUAUGGGCUACUCUCCGCCCAUCAGUUUCGUUUGGUGUCCAAGAGGGCUGCCUUCCGCAUUUCCAGGUUGAUUCAUUUCAAUGGCCAUCACCAGCACCAGCACCACCACCACCACCACCACCACGACCACCAGAUGCAAACAGCACGAUUUGUCAUUCAUUCAAAAAGUACAACAAACCAACCAAGAAGAUGGGGCAGAGCAAAUUGUGUCAUGUUUGGCAUUCAGAGACACAUAACUUCUAUUAUUAAUACAAAAUGGAAAAUAGCGAGCACAGAAAAUUAUGAAAUAUUCCUAUAUAAGAUCAAAACUCGUUGAUGAGCAACUGUAUCAUCAGUAUCAUCAUCUUAAUCUCACCGCCUGGCGUGCAAAGCAAACAGCCACAGCGAAAAAAGCAUCAAAUUCAAAGCGAUAAACCAUAAAUGAAUAAAAAGGUUCUUUUUUUUUCUGCCAUUUUCAGUUUAGCCAUUUGGCGGGGCAAACGGCGAAUUGAAGUCGCGGCGUAAUUGACGUUAUAGUGAUGAGAUGAGAUCAAAAUGGACCACAAUGAUUGCGGCGAUAAUUGCGACACAGACAGACAGACAGACAGACAGACAAAUAUUCUUUUGGAGCCACGCACCGAGGAAUGAUAAAUGAUAAAUGAAAUGUGCCAGGGAAAAGAUGCAGCAGCAGAUACAGAUACAAGCUACAAGAUACCCAGAGUUCGGAUACGCGGAAAAAUCAACUGGCGAUGAAGACAAUGGAGAAAGGGGGAGGCGGAAAAACCACUUCUGAAUGAAAAGUGCUGCGGAAAAGUGUUAAUGUUCCAGGAAAAUGCCCAUAAGGUUCGCCUGACAAGCUGCUGCUCAACAUUUCGCCCCGAAAUCAACAGAAACUUCAAAGCAACGGAAAUGCAAAAACACUCAUGUGAAGGAAGGAAAAGAAGGGAAAACUUCAAGCAAUCAAAUCGCGCAUCGGGCAGAUCAUCGUGGCCGAAAGCAAGUGCAAUUGGCCAAAACCAGCGCCACAACCAGAUAAAAACUGAAAAAACAAUUUCCAAGCGUUCGCCGCCCGUUGCAAUGCAUUUUAAUUUGACUUUAACUAUUUGCGCAUAUAAUUAACAGCAGCAGUUAGUACACAUAGAAC
Long non-coding RNA from Drosophila santomea, 1265 nucleotides. RefSeq lists it as uncharacterized. NCBI's taxonomy places the organism in Eukaryota, Metazoa, Arthropoda, Insecta, Diptera, Drosophilidae. The record is from RefSeq and is a predicted model, not a curated record. The transcript is spliced from 4 exons.